Long non-coding RNA from Onychomys torridus (southern grasshopper mouse), 999 nucleotides. RefSeq lists it as uncharacterized. Lineage: Eukaryota; Metazoa; Chordata; Mammalia; Rodentia; Cricetidae. The record is from RefSeq and is a predicted model, not a curated record. The transcript has 3 exons.
CAGUUCAUAAAUGCCUGCUUUGUAAGGGGUCCUUGCGUCCUGGGUACCUCAACUCCUGUGGCCGGCUCUGCCCCAGGAACCCGUGCCAGCAAAUGGUAUUUAUUAUCCUUGUCGGCUUCACCUGGAGAUGGGCUUCCCUGACUUCCACACAGCCAGGUUUGUUUCUUCCGGGUGCAGCAGGCAUUGUGGGAAAAACUCCCCCGGAUCUUCUGGAUCUUCUUGCUGCCACCGCCUGACUUAGUUUAUGAAGAAAAGCUUCAUUUGCAAGCCAGAGAUGGAGACAGGAGUGCAAGCUGCACACAGCCCACGCGCCGUUCCCAGUUUGUACGCAGGUUCAAACACGUGCUCACGUGUGCACCGCAGCAACACCAUGUGCAUACACACAGCUGUUCAGAUCUUUGUUAAGCAGUGUGCAACUGACUCCAAACCCAGUUCUAUGUGGAAAGUCGACACUUCAGAGUUACCUGUGAGAGAGAGAAACUGCUGUUCCUGUUACAAUUUCGGUAGAGAGAAGCUGAGUAGCACUGGAGGGUGAGAGUCAAUCCCAAGGCACACUCAUUUCCCAGCAGUCUCCUUCUAACUUCUGGACACAAAAGUCUCUGAGAACCUCAUCAGCAUGAAGUCAAUUCUGUGUCCACACAGGAUCCAGUAGCCGAGAAAGCUCUCUUGGUGUCCUCCCCUCUUCCCCGAGUCCUUUAGAUUUGGGUUGAGCUGUGCAACCACUGCUUUCAUUGGCGACCACACUUGCCCCUCCUAGCCCUUCGCACCUACUCCACAUUCGGAGCUCUUGAAUCCCAACAGGUGACUUAAAAAAGGAACAUGUCCGCUUUCCCUGUCAGUUCAGUCACAUGUAGAAUCAGCUAGGACACAUCUCAGGGUGUGAGUAAAGGCCUCUCCAGAGAAGGUUCAUUAGGAGGGAAGAGCCAAGCAGCAUCAUUUACGGGCUGGAGUACCAGAGUGAGGAAAAAAAAGGAAACAGAAAAAGGCUGCAGAGCAGUG